UGAAACUUCAUCUCAGAGUCUGCCUCACUGGGAAACCAAGCCACAAGAGCCAUUAAAGGAAAGCCAAUCAUCCUCCAAGCAUCUAAGGUGGUUUUGCAUGAAUUUAUGGAGCCCCUGCUGGGUUGUGGAAGAUCAGAAUCUAACAUUCUCCAGCAUCGAUUGUAUAGCUCGGAACUGUGUACCACAACUUGAUUAGGCUGUAGCACUGGAAUAGGCUUUUAUGGAAUCUCCCAUAUGAGGAUACUAUUAGUACUUAAUAGCUUGCUGUUGUGGUAUGUAUUUUCUAUUUUUGCUAUUUGAGGUUUUUCUGGUUGUUGUUAUGUUUUGUCUCCCGUUGGUGAAACCGAGGUACAAAACGGUGGCAACUCGCCCGAGAUUGGAAGAGGUAGUGCCAGAACUCAAGUGCAGGCCUCCUAAUCAUCCAGUGUUGAGUGACAUAGUAUAGUGGGUAGGAGGUGGUAACUGGGAUGGAUGGGGCUUCCUUCGCUUUCCACGAGGAAAAGAUGUCAAAAAGCUUGCGGUCAGCAGUUCAUGAAAGGACUCACCCUUGUGUCAUCCAGUUAUAUCAUCACUUCUUGUUUUCCUUGCAAAUUUUGUUGGAACAAUUUGGUGCGGUUAACCUUGGUCAUGAGAUUGGUUGCCUGGGGACAAUGCACCGAGUGCAAAGGGGAGCACACGUCAGUAAGCCUGAGCCUCAAGCCUCAAGCCUCAAGGUGAGCUCCUUGAGGGAAGGCCCCAUGUCCUUCAGCCUUGUGUUUCCCCACCAUCUAGCCAGGGCAGAGCAUGGAGUUAGUGUUGAAUAAAUAAAUGUCUGCUUGGAUGGGCAGUGGAUAGCAGCGACUACUACCUGCCUUCGAACCUACUGAAUGUUGACUCAAAAGAGGCAAAACAAUUGCAUUUUACUAUCGACUUAAAACUUUCCAAGCACAGACCCUGAGAGGCUCAGCCCUCCUGACCCCGAGAGACCCAUGACACUCCUGCCUAUGUCGCCCAGCCCUUCCCGCUGCUCUUCUGACCGUGACAACCUGUGCCACUCAGUUCAGCACUGCAUUACAGAGCGCCUUAUCCUGCUUAAGUCAGCACGCAAGUCUCAUGCCCGGGGUAGGGCGGCCCCCAGGAACUCAGUUGGCUUGCUGUGGGUUACAGAGCUCUUGCCCAUCCCGUGCUUCCUGCCCAGGAGGUGGGAGCAGCCGGGUGCUGCCCUCCAGGAUCUCAGCCAGCUUUCCUUGGCAGGAGCCAUGCCUAUUGUUGGAGCCGCUGAGCUGCUCAUGGGCAGGAGCCAGGGACGGAGCUCCCAAGGCUCACGUUGGACGCCACACGCACAAGGUCACAGGGUCAACCCUAGAGUCAACCCACGGCUCAGAUCCCCAGGUUGCCUUUUCACUUUUAUCAUUUUCACCUGAACCCUCAUUAUGCAAAUGCAGUAGCAUCUAGUCAAUUCAUGGGCUAACAGACUGUAAAAGGAAGGGAAAGAAAUACUGGCUAGUGUAGUGGAACAGAAGGCCAGGAACGAUGUUUCGGCUCCUGGGUUGUCCAACACACGCAGCUCCCGUGACACCUCCAGGACACGUGGCAGGGUAGGAUGGCGGGCAGCUUAUCUGAGGGCGGAGGCCCAGAGAAAAACAGUCGCCUUGGGUUUAGGGAGGGCAGAUGACAGAGGCAGGAGAGCAGAAGCAUUUCCUCCUUCAGCGUCCGCGACGGAAAAGCAAAUCUGCUGGACAAAAGAACCUCCACGUUUUAUGUGUUCUGUUGCCAGGCGCUUCACGGUGACAGAGCGAUGUCGAAGCCCCCGGACCUGCCAGGCCCAGAGGAGGUCACAGAAUAUUUUUGAUCAUGGUCCUGGCGGUGGGAGUGAUGGGCUGUCCGAGGAGCACCCGGGAGACCAGCUGGAUGCAAGCAUGAGCACCAUGGAGCUGGCUGGAGGCCAGCUUCUCACACCCAUGCUGUCUUCUGGAUUGUGGCACGUCCCUCCUAUCGGGUCUGCUGGCCACCGCUCCCACCUCCUCCGACCCAGUCUCCACUCCAGCCAGAAAGGAGCAUUGCCAGGCACACACCCAGGAAGCUUGCUACUCACUUGAAAUCUGUGGUGGGUUUCCCAAAGCCCUCUGACUUAGCCUGAACCCCAACCUGACUUUGAGAUCCUCACGCUCAAUCCCCUGGCUCUCUCGGAUGUUCCUUCCCGCUGCUCCACCUCACGCUCCGUGCUCCAGGCUCCCCCACUUCAGAGAAUCCAACAUUCUUCCUCCUGCCUUCCAGAAAUUGCUUUGAACUCAAUGUCACUCUGCUCAGAACACCCUCACCAGCAACUCCCCCUUGCCCCCACCGGCCUGCAGGUCCGUGCCUGUCCUCUCCCGUCCCACCCCCUAAGCCAAGUGAGGCUAAGUGUCCUUCCCACGGCAGGCUGGGCCCCCCACCCCCACCCCGGAGCCCUCCCCACAACGUAGGCCAAGCUCCUAAUGUUCGUCUCUGUUCCCAGCUAGACAGAACCUCCACAAAGCACAGUGGUGGUUUUUGUAUCACUAGCCUGGUGCUGACGCCCCAGACCGGGCCUGCCCAUCUUUUGCUCACUCCAAGUCUCCCUCCAGCCAUUAGCGGGGGCAGGGGAGAUGCUCUGGGACUUGGUGCCAGGAUCCUAGCACUGCUCGGUACUCCCCUCACUCCGUACCUUCAGGCAGGUCACUGUCCCCUCUGGCCCUCAGUUUCCCUACCUGCUCUUCUCUUCCCACAAGCUCAGAAGUAAAGCGACCAAAGCAGCUGGAGUGACUGACUCCCAUUUUUUUUCUUUAAGUUGACUUAUUUAUUUUCAGAGAGAGAGAGAGAGAGGAGAGCAGAGAGAGAAUCUCAAGCAGGCCCCCCGCUGCCAGCACAGAGCCCAAUACGGGGCUCGAACUCACAACCUGUGAGACCGUGAUCAGGACAGAAGUCAAGUGACUGACUGACUCCCUUCGAGAAUGUUAUUUUAGUGUAGUAACAUGGCAUCUGCCACCUUAACAGAUGUCCAAGUGCACAAUACAGUAUUGUUGACUCUA
This is a long non-coding RNA of Leopardus geoffroyi (Geoffroy's cat), 3029 nucleotides long. RefSeq lists it as uncharacterized. The transcript has 2 exons. NCBI's taxonomy places the organism in Eukaryota, Metazoa, Chordata, Mammalia, Carnivora, Felidae. The record is from RefSeq and is a predicted model, not a curated record.